Molecule: long non-coding RNA, 1562 nt
Organism: Colius striatus (speckled mousebird)
Lineage: Eukaryota; Metazoa; Chordata; Aves; Coliiformes; Coliidae
Exons: 4
Source: RefSeq, a predicted model, not a curated record
ACGCCGACAGCGGCUCAGCCGGUGCCCGGCGCGGAAGGGAGCACAGCCUCGGCGGCCCCGAGCGCGGCAGCGACAGGCAUCGCGAAGGGAAUUGAAGCUGCGCUUUACCUUUAGUUCCGCACUGUCCGCCAUCUUGCAACUCCGGGCGCAGGCGCAGUGAACCCCGCCGGGACACCGCCCCCCCGCCGCCCCCCCGCCGGCACGCAGCGCGCAGCGUUUGAAUCGCGGCGCCAUUUUGUCCCUCCUCUGCGCUCCGGCCGGGUGGGGGGUCUCCGGCGGGGGGCGGCCCGCGAGAUUCCUUCCACAGGGCUGCGAGCGGAGCCGUUCCCACGGGGAAGCUGCGUUCCGGUCCCGGGGGCAGAGCGUGGCCGCCGCCCUGCCUGGGAAGUUUUCCCCUGAGAGGCGGCCCCCUCGGUUCCGCCUUCCUCGCUGCUCCGCCGCGUGAGGGGAGCGAGGCGCUGAGGGGAGCCGUUGAGGAUGCCAGCGCCGCGGCUCUCGGGGCUGAGCCGCUGCCGGUACCGGGGGCCCCUCUCGCAGGAUCCGCAGAGGGAAGAGGCGGACACGCAUUCCUGUAGGGAUAAGUUGAUUAAAAUCGGAAUUUGCAACUCCGCUUCCUGCCACUUAAUCCGCGGGUUUCGGUGCCGUAGGAGGGGCGCUGCGCGGGGUCCCUCCGCGGGCGCUGGGGGCCCUGCCGAGGACGAGGGUGGGUGCCGGGCCCCGGCCGGUGCCCCCAGCCCCCAUCUGCCUCCCGCUCGGUACCGUCCUCAGCGUGGAGCACGGCAUCAAGUUCUGUUUCCCUCGACUACUGCAGAGCAACUUGAGGGAAUCAACGUGAGCUUGCCAGGGUUUCCCACUUAGGAAACGACUGGACUAGAUGAUCUUUGGAGAUUGCCGUGACACUUUCUCCACUUAGCCUUCACCUUCACGUAUAGGAUGGAAAAACCGUGUAACGUGGCCAGCACUGCACAUCAUUUUAAGUGAGAGAGAGAGAGAAAAUUAGCUGUUCUCCUCUUCCUUCAGCAUCGGCAUCUCAAACGCAGCAUUCAGAAAAGGAGCAGCAAUUAGAAGCUGAUAAGUGAUACUCCCAUACUUCUGGCUUAAUACUGCCUAGCAACCAAUAAAAGCCCCCGAGGAAGGCGGGCGAGUGCCGAGCGGAUGAGUGUCGCACCCCACUCCCAAGAAGGGAAUGCUGCCCAGCAGCAAGGACGGGAGGAUGGGAGGCAGGAAUUCUUGGAUCAGUCCCAAAAAAAAAAGCCUCCUGCCAUAUUACCUCAUUUGGACCAAGUCACGGGGUAGAAAUGCACUCGGAAUGACUCCGUUGUGACAUGGAGAUGAUAAUAAUAGGUAUCUCCCUGGCCUGGUGAGAGGAAAUUAAUUAACGUCUGGAAAGCACUUUGGGAUUCUUGGAUGAGAGAUGAUGGAGCUGGAAUGCUGGCAACAUUAAAAUAAGUUGGAAUAAUGUUAAUAUUUAUUGCAUACAGCGCUUUCAUCUUCAAAGCUCUUUACUGGCAUCAAUGAAUUAACAAAGAAAAUAUUAAUAAAGGUCAUAUUUACCCACAAAA